Molecule: long non-coding RNA, 4138 nt
Organism: Anas platyrhynchos (mallard)
Lineage: Eukaryota; Metazoa; Chordata; Aves; Anseriformes; Anatidae
Source: RefSeq, a predicted model, not a curated record
GCAGCUUUCAGUGCAACGAGCUGCAGGAGGAGCAGCUGGGUUCACCCCUGGAUUCUGGCAAGCUGCAAGGAAAUCCAUCACACCUGGCUGCAAACCUGUGAGGGCGGGGAGGGGAAAGCAGGGAUUUCAGUGGCUCCGUGCUUGUGUGCAGGACGUGAGCAAAGCUGGUUGCAGGGAAUCAGUGCAGAGGAAUACCUGCAGAAUGCACGGAUAAAGUUGAAGAGGAUACGUAAUGCCCUUGCAGAAUCUUAAUAUUCCAGAAAUAGGGUACCAGGUAUAAACCUCUGGAGAAGUCACCUCAAGUCUUGAGAGCAGUGAAAUCUGAGGCAUUUGGAGUGAAUUACCCAGUCCUAUCGUAUAUUUGUCUUGCAUGAACCCAGCUGUAGGGGAGCUGAGUACCUGUUUGCCUGCACACGGUGAUGGGUAUGCAACACUCAUCUGCAAAUCUUGUGCAGACAACUGAGCCUAUUUCAUUAACUUAUUACUACUCUCACUCUUACCUGCCUCCUACCCCUUCAUUAAAGUGAUGUACUCCUUCUAGACUGCAUUAGAAAUUAUUUAAAAAGGGGCAGUUUUCCAUAAAAUAUUUGCAAUGGAGCCUAGGCAUCAUUAUUGCAAGAUCUUAGUAACAAUAGUAUUAACUUCCACGGCUCUGAGGAAGACACAGGUGUUCUUUAACCUCCCCUCCUUGUGUAACCUUGAGCAGAUAAUUGCUUAGAGAAGUUUUAUUAUCCCUAUUUUACUAAAACCCAUCUGAAUUAUUAAAAAAACCACUCUUGGUCACAGACAAAAGUCUCAGAUUCAUGCAUCCCAAAAUCUGUAUUGGGAGUGAGGAGAAUUCUUGCUGUGAGGGUCUGAGUACAGCACGCCGCCCAUGGAGCUGGUGUCAUAGCAAAGUACAGAACGCAGCGCACUGCAGAUGCUGCUGCUGAAGUAAAACUGCAAGGAAAAAAAAAAAAAAGUGCUUUCACUUAGUGGGUGACACUCCCGACAGUUUGAUUACUUGGAAUUUAAGGUGAAAAUGCCCAGCCAGAGAGAUCAAGUCAAGAUAGAGAAAAAUGAGGAGCACGUUAAAAUAAGAAAAUUGGACUUUUUGUGAAGAACACAAUUGCUUGUUCAUAUGUUGCUGAAAUGUGAAGAGGCCUCCAGGAUGCACCAAAGAAAGUAGAGAGCAGGAAGAAAGAUGAAGCUUAAAUUAUCAUCAUCAGCUCUGUUUGUCAAGCAAGGUAUGCACGUCUGAGGAAAGCUGUGUGUGGCUGCUGCUGCUGACAGAGCCCAGGCAGUGUGCUGUGUGCUUGCGCCCCAUCUGGAGGGAUCCCGUGAAAGAGAAACCCUCAGGCCUGGAGGAGGACAAGACUGAUGCCAGCCUCUUGGCACCAAAGCCCACCAGGACUGAAGCUCAUUGACCUGCUGUGGCUGUGCAGAAAAGCUGAACCACUCAGCACCUCGCUGCUCCAAUGCUGCUUGUGUGAUUCAUUCCAGGGGCUCACAAGAAGGGAAUCCUCUCACCAGUCAUGGGAAAGGGACUUUGUCUGGACAACAUCAAUUUUGCAGUAGACUUUUUGCUCAGAGGAGGCUUCCUCAGUGCACCUCCUGUCGCACCCGGGCUUAUGAAGCCCUGCAUUUCUGCUGGAAACUUCAGGGACUUUUCAUCUUGGAUGUCAGACAAAAAAGUCAGUUUGCCCUUGCAAAUAGCAUCCUCCAAAGGCAGUCCCCCUGCAGCAGGAAUGUCGUGGAUGGCAUGGGGAGAAGCACAAGGGGUAAAGCAGCUUGACAAGAGCACAAACCAGCAGCUGGUAUUGUUUUGCUUGUGCAUCUGUAUGAUAAGAUUUUAUAUGAUUAAAUUGUUCCACAAGGUAGCUGUAACUAAGUUAUAAAAAGUCUCAUAAAUGUCCCAGCUGGUAGGUAGCAGACUGUGAGACGCAGCCGAUGGUCAAAUGUAUACUCUAAUCGGUCAUGAAAAAUUAUAUUUAAUUCACUUAGGUUUACUUGAGAGAGACUUGAAGCUAAAGGAUCAGCCAAAAUACCCUUCAAUUCUGAAACUCUUUUGGCCCAAUUCCUAAACUCUGAAUACCCGAGAAUUUAAUAUUUGACAUUUCAAGCCAGGACACACCUGAUCCUUGUGGCUUAAACCUUCAGUAAUUAUAUAAAUGAACUAACAAAAUGAUUUUUUUCUACAUUGAAGUUCCUUUUAUCUACAUAACUUUCCUAGGAAAGCACUGUAACUGUAAAUAAGGGCCUCAUGUUAUAAACUUCUGUCUUAGGGGUUUUUAUUUUGGUAAGCCUUUCUUGAAGAUAUGUUUGAUUUUUAUUUAUUUAUUUAUUUAUUAAUUUUUAUUUAAUCUUCCUUGCAAAAAGUUUUGUUUUGAGAGCUGUGUUACUGAAGACUGGUACUGUGGACAGCAUAGCUUGCUGAAUCUGCUCCGAGUGAGAAAUAGCUUUCCUCUAUCAGCACCAUCUUGUCUAUGUUAUAUGUGAAUCAGCAGCACAAGUAGUGUGCUUUGGUGAAUAAAAGGGUUUUUCUUGUUUGUUUUGGUAUGGGGAAGCAUCCACAGGAGCAGUUGCUCUUCAGAAAUUAAUCUGCAUUAUUUAUUAAUUAAUCCUCUGUCGCUGCCUCACCUCCCGCAGUCUGGGUUCCUGGUGUUGGCAGCUGUAUUUAUGCUGAAUGUACAAAGAAAGCAGAGCAUCUCUCAGGCACGUGGGGAAGAGCAGGUCUCCAUCUCCGUUUUGGUGGCACUAAUAACCCCGGAAAAGUUGUGUCCCUGUCGCUGUUGGUCUCCUCUUUGGGGUUUGGUUUUGUUGCAGUGGAAAUUAGUCAGUGUUGCUGUAAAUAUCCUAAGAUUAUAAUGAAUAAUAAUGAUACAAGUCCCUAUUAUACUGUAAAUUUCAAGCCUUCCAGCAGCAAUGAAAGACGAACUGAGGGCUGAGGGAACUGGGGAGAAGCAUAGGUUUGCCCCAUUGAUUGUAUUAAAUUCUUUGGGUUGGGUCUCCUCUCUUCAUCUAUCUCUCUCUCCUGUCUGUCUCUGUUGUAGAAACUCAGUAUUCACCUUGGCUAUGCCCAUGUUAGCAAGGCCUGAAGUGCAAUGGGAAUAGGUUGGUGGAGUGAGACUACUGGUAUUGGGACCACCGUGCUAUUGGGAUUGCAAGUGGGGUUACGCCAGGCUGGUAGUCUCAUGUAUUAAAUGUCCCUUCACAGUUGGGCUGUGUUAGCCACUCUACUGGAGUGUGUCAGGAAAAGCUCCCAUUGAUUUAUUCUUCACAAAAAAAAAAUUGCUUUCUUUAUAAUGCUUUUUCUUUGUGGAAAGAGCCACAUUUAAAUUGUUCAAAUUUGCAGAGAAAAUUGAAUCUAUUUUUUUCUCUUCUUCAUUAAAGUCUCAAUCAAAAAGCACUUGAUUUUCUGCCCUAACAAAAAUGGAAGAGCAAAAUAACAUAACAGGGGUAGCAGAUGCCAGGCACAUAUUCUGCCAAUACCCACAGUUGUCAGGAUGGGCAAAUAUUUUUCUGCAUUUAAAAGUGCGUAUUUUCUGUUAAUUUCACAGGAAUACACUUUCAGGAGUUAUAUCUUCUCAUACCAGUGGACAGUGAAACAUGCCUUAGGUGAUUGUUCAGAACACCUCAUAAAAAGAAAAAUAAAUCAGGUAAUAUGUCCUAAUCAGGUCUUGUCCUGAACUCAUUGCCAUCUUAAAUCCUUAAGUGAAAAAAUAUUUUCCCCUUACAUUACACCUUUUAUCAUUAGAGAAUAUAACUUUGAAUGUUGUUGCUUGUGUAAAAUCCAGUCCCUCUUCUAAAUCCUUUGCCUCAGUUAUGCUGCAGCAAUGAGUGCCAUUUGGAGUUUCUACCUCCAGUUUUGUCUUACCACUGAAGAUACUUUCUUUCUUAUGAAAAAAAAUAUAUGUAUAUGCGUGUGUGUGUAUAUACAUAUUUAUAGAUUUAAGAGAGUUUUUAAUUUAAGAUAAUGAUUUAAGAAAAAUGAAAAAUCCAGGAUGGACUCUUCUUGUUUCACAUUCACAAAAAAGCUUAUUUUGGAAAAUGUUAUCCAGAAAGAUGAAAGCUUUGAAAAGCUCUUGGAGUUUUUAUUAGAAGCUGGUUGUUAUACUCAGAGAACCAAACAAGAAUAAAUGAUCAAAGACAAAGCUUU